UAGGGAAUAUUGGACAAUGGGCGCAAGCCUGAUCCAGCCAUGCCGCGUGAGUGAAGAAGGCCCUCGGGUUGUAAAGCUCUUUUGUCCGGAAAGAAAAGCAUCGGGCUAAUACCCUGGUGUUCUGACGGUACCGGAAGAAUAAGCACCGGCUAACUUCGUGCCAGCAGCCGCGGUAAUACGAAGGGUGCAAGCGUUACUCGGAAUUACUGGGCGUAAAGCGUGCGUAGGUGGUUUGUUAAGUCUGAUGUGAAAGCCCUGGGCUCAACCUGGGAAUGGCAUUGGAAACUGGCGGACUCGAGUGCGGUAGAGGGGUGUGGAAUUCCCGGUGUAGCAGUGAAAUGCGUAGAGAUCGGGAGGAACACCAGUGGCGAAGGCGACACCCUGGACCAGCACUGACACUGAGGCACGAAAGCGUGGGGAGCAAACAGGAUUAGAUACCCUGGUAGUCCACGCCCUAAACGAUGCGAACUGGAUGUUGGGUGCAACUUGGCACUCAGUAUCGAAGCUAACGCGUUAAGUUCGCCGCCUGGGGAGUACGGUCGCAAGACUGAAACUUAAUGAAUUGACGGGGUCAUAGCUGUUUCC
RNAcentral lists this ribosomal RNA (585 nucleotides) under uncultured bacterium. RNAcentral's name for it is "partial 16S ribosomal RNA". It matches the Rfam family "Bacterial small subunit ribosomal RNA", at positions 355 to 937 of the family's 1533-position model. The record is from RNAcentral.